Non-coding RNA from Equus caballus (horse), 805 nucleotides. NCBI's taxonomy places the organism in Eukaryota, Metazoa, Chordata, Mammalia, Perissodactyla, Equidae. The record is from RefSeq and is a predicted model, not a curated record.
AAAACUAGAAGAGGAAGAAACACUUUGCAAAUAAUUCUACAGAGCCAAUAUUAUGCUGAUGCCGAAACCAGGCAAAGACAUCUCAAGAAAAAGAGAGGUGGAAAGAAAGCACAUUCAUCAACAAGCAGAAUAACCCAGGCUCGUUCACAUGGUGAUGGAGUUCUCUGUCUCAGGUUGAGUUUCCCAGAAUCAAAUCUGGAGAGUGAAUAAACCUGUAGAACCAGCACACAGAUAAAGAGGAAGACGUGACACAUGAUCAUUGCCCUGGAAGACCCUUUGUGCCCUGACUCUGGCCGGUAUUCCCUCCUGUGACAACUACUAUCCUGACUCCUAAUAAUUUUAAUUGUUUGAUUUUUGACAAGUGGAACCAUAUAAUCUAUUCUCUUUUAUGACUGGCUUCUUGCUUGUAAUGCUAUGUUUUUGAUACCUAUCCACUUUGUUGUGUGUAGAUAUAAUUUGCUCAUUUUAAUUGCUAUACAUUAUUAAAUUGUAUGAAUAUACCUCAGUUACGUUUAUCUAAAUAAUGUCAAGGACAUUUGAUUUUAUUUUUACACUUUUUGGCUGUUAGAAGCAGUGCUACUAUGAAUAUCUGCCCCAGGUGUUUUGGUGCACAUGUGUAUAUAUGUCCACCUUGAAAUAGAAAUACUGUACCGUUGGGUCUGCAGAUGUUGCUUUCUGGCAAACCACUGCUAAAUGUUUUUCUAAAGGAUAUAUGUCAAUUUACCCUCCCAUCAGCUGUGUACAAGAAUUCCAUUUUUACUAUAUUCUCAUCAAUACAUGGUAUUGUCUGUAUUUUUCAUUUUAA